Molecule: ribosomal RNA, 1184 nt
Filed under: Triticum aestivum (bread wheat)
Lineage: Eukaryota; Viridiplantae; Streptophyta; Magnoliopsida; Poales; Poaceae
Description: partial small subunit ribosomal RNA
Source: RNAcentral
CUGUCUGUGUUCAAAACCCGAUAAGGCAUUUAUGCAUUCGGCGUUCCCGAUUUAACGUUUUGGUCGCUUCUCUAUUCCAAGAUGGAGAAAGGAGGGCUCGCUAAAGCUGGUCCUUUUUAGAACAUUGGUGGAGCAGCGGCAAAACCGAGCUGCCGGUCCCGGUGCUGAUACUCGGGCGGCAGCAGAGGUGGCGCCCCUCGGUGCGGUCUCCCUCGUCGGCGGAGGAACCGGCCUUCCUCACAAGGCCGGCAGCCAAAGCAGCGGUGUGCGUACGGUUUCCCGCUGCGACGUCUCCCGGUCAUCUCCCGGCAACGGAGACCGCGGCGACUAGACGCGCCUACGCUCGGCUCCCGGCGUAGCAAGCGGACCCUCGCAGCGGCCGGAGCCAGAAGACACGGCGCUGCGCCAACCUCCGGCAGGAGUACCCGCGGCUCGGACGGUAGACACUGAACGCGUCACCCUCCCGCACUUCGGUUCGUGUUGCCGCCCCGGACACCGGUGCCGUGUGGCUCUCCUCGUGGCAGCCCGGCUCCCGGCGACGCACGAGGCGCGACCCUCGGCGUAUGCAGUGACCCUUCCGCAGCGGCGCGAGCGCGCAAUCCGCCGGCAACCGCCGAAGCGCGGAUCCGCCGCGGCGGAGCAAUGGCGUCCUGCGCUUCGGCCACUAAGGCCAGAGGGUCAGAUCCUCCCCGGCUCCGGUUUGCUUCGACUACAGGUAGCUACCGCAGGAACUACGUUCUACCGCUGCUCGCGGUGGUGGUCAGGUCACUGCUACACGUACCACGCUCCGACGGCGAACCUUCGUGAAGGCGGCCCGACUCCCGGCGACUCCAUCGCCCGCGGUGGUGCGGACCGGCUCCCGACUCCGGCAGGUUGAUCGCUCGCUACGGCAUCGGCCCCUUGCGGCGUGGCCACCUCAGCGAGACGGCCCUCGCCGACUAUUGUAUAACUUUAUCUUGUUCUGCGUUAGACUAUCAUUACUUUUUGACACAGAUAACUACUACUGUUCAAUGUAUAAAUAUCAGGGGCUUCCCCGCGUAGGCCUCCCUGUGCUGCCAAUGUUCUCAACGUAGAGAAACAUACUGUCAAACCUAUUCACCUCUAAAUUGGGAAUUAAUUGAACACAAUUAAUUCAGAAUUGUCAAAUUAGUGGCAUAAUCCUUUUCACUAACCGGGUAGGACUU